UUAUACCGCGAAACUGCGAAUGGCUCAUUAAAUCAGUUAUCGUUUAUUUGAUAGUACCUUACUACAUGGAUAACCGUGGUAAUUCUAGAGCUAAUACAUGCUAAAAAUCCCGACUUCGGAAGGGAUGUAUUUAUUAGAUUAAAAACCAAUGCCCUUCGGGGCUCUCUGGUGAUUCAUAAUAACUUCUCGAAUCGCACGGCCUUGCGCCGGCGAUGGUUCAUUCAAAUUUCUGCCCUAUCAACUUUCGACGGCUGGGUCUUGGCCAGCCGUGGUGACAACGGGUAACGGAGGGUUAGGGCUCGACCCCGGAGAAGGAGCCUGAGAAACGGCUACUACAUCCAAGGAAGGCAGCAGGCGCGCAAAUUACCCAAUCCCGACACGGGGAGGUAGUGACAAUAAAUACUGAUACAGGGCUCUUUCGGGUCUUGUAAUUGGAAUGAGUACAAUUUAAAUCCCUUAACGAGGAACAAUUGGAGGGCAAGUCUGGUGCCAGCAGCCGCGGUAAUUCCAGCUCCAAUAGCGUAUAUUAAAGUUGUUGAGGUUAAAAAGCUCGUAGUUGAACCUUGGGCCUAGCCGGCCGGUCCGCCUCACCGCGUGCACUGGCUCGGCUGGGUCUUUCCUUCUGGAGAACCGCAUGCCCUUCACUGGGUGUGCCGGGGAACCAGGACUUUUACUCUGAACAAAUUAGAUCGCUUAAAGAAGGCCUAUGCUCGAAUACAUUAGCAUGGAAUAAUAGAAUAGGACGUGUGGUUCUAUUUUGUUGGUUUCUAGGACCGCCGUAAUGAUUAAUAGGGACAGUCGGGGGCAUCAGUAUUCAAUUGUCAGAGGUGAAAUUCUUGGAUUUAUUGAAGACUAACUACUGCGAAAGCAUUUGCCAAGGAUGUUUUCAUUAAUCAGGAACGAAAGUUAGGGGAUCGAAGACGAUCAGAUACCGUCGUAGUCUUAACCAUAAACUAUGCCGAUUAGGGAUCGGACGGCGUUAUUUUUUGACCCGUUCGGCACCUUACGAUAAAUCAAAAUG
Molecule: ribosomal RNA, 1021 nt
Filed under: Chaetomium globosum
Lineage: Eukaryota; Fungi; Ascomycota; Sordariomycetes; Sordariales; Chaetomiaceae
Description: SSU rRNA
Rfam family: Eukaryotic small subunit ribosomal RNA
Source: RNAcentral